AAGAGCAAUAGUCAUAAUAUUGA
This 23-nucleotide non-coding RNA is filed under the name Arabidopsis thaliana (thale cress). Lineage: Eukaryota; Viridiplantae; Streptophyta; Magnoliopsida; Brassicales; Brassicaceae. The record is from RNAcentral.